Molecule: long non-coding RNA, 1985 nt
Organism: Pogona vitticeps (central bearded dragon)
Lineage: Eukaryota; Metazoa; Chordata; Lepidosauria; Squamata; Agamidae
Source: Ensembl
GUGCUAUUUAUCUUAUUUGUUUAUAUUAUUAUUUAGUUAUUUAUUUUCCAUUUUGUAUUGCGCUAUUCCUCUCCAGAAAUAAAUGGAUUCUUCUCUGGUGGUAAAUUGUUUCCCUUUCACAAGUACAUAUACCAAAAAAAUAAAAAAUAAAAUUCUGUUUUUCUUUCGAAAUGUUUAAUAUUUGACAUUCCUUUGUUGUUAGAGACCAGGAGCAGAUCGUGGAUCUUAGAAACAGAGCUUCUAACUGCAGUUGGUCGUGAUCACAGGUUAAGUGAGUGGGAAGGAGGUUUUUUUCUGAGAGGUGGUGAGAGAAAAGCAUUCUAAGGCAGUUAGAGAGUGAUCUGGAACCUGAGGACGGGAUUCCAGGCAACUGAGAUGCAAUGCUGAAGUUCCAAGGAAACAUAAGUGUCUCAUGAAGCCCAAGCUUUUGGCUGGAGGAGUGGUCACCUUUGAUCCCUACCAGCAAGAAUCUUAAGAAGCACGACUGGUGGAUAGGCCUUUUCACUAAGGGAGACAUCUAUCAAAACAAGGUGCUAAGGGCCUUUUCUCUGAUUGCACCUCAAGAUGCAUAUGAUGGGAACAGGAAACAAUAACUCUUCUGAAGACACACAGCUGGUGUUUCGCUACCAGUCCUUUGGCCGCAUCUUCAGCUUCUUGGGUCUUGUUUGCUUGUUCACUGCGAUGGUCUCUCCCCAUUGGGUUGUGGUCGUCGGCACCCGGCACACGAUCAAUGUGGGCCUCUGGACUAUGUGCAGAUACAAAAACUGCAGGAAAUAUGUGGGAGCCGCCAAAAUCCUUGUGGUGAUCAAAGUCUUAAUUUCGUUGUGUGCCCUCAGUGGUUUGGUGGCAGUCUCCUGUGCAUUUCUAAGCAGCCUCAGAAAAUCCAAAGCACCUCUUUUUACCAAUUUUUUCACAGGACUACUGUUGCUCGGCACGAUGUUGUUGUACGACCUGUCACUAAAACCCAACAACAUAUUUGGUUCCUCCGUCGUGGUGACCGAUCUCCCGGUUUAUGUUUCCUGGUCCUUCAUUUUGGGCUGCUUCGCCUGUUUCCUGUUUCUGUUGAACGGGAUUUUGUUUGUUUUGGCUGAAAUUCAAGAAGUCCUCAACAUACAAGGUCCAAAGAAGAACCUGAAGCCGAAACCCAGGGAUCCGAUUUCGGUCAUUUAAGGGGAAUACAGAACUACGAUGGGCACAGCUUCCUUCUGUUUGGAAGGGACGUGUUCAAAGACAUGCAUAAGCAAUUCUCCCAAUCUUUCACAAAGCAGGGUUAGGUAUAAAAUUCACAACCCUCAAGGAAAACAUGAAAUUCAUUCCAUCGGAACAACAACUAGGCAUCAAUGUUUACAUUUGGAAAUACUAACAUUUUUCAUUCACCUGCAGUCAUUCUUCUGUGGAAAAAGAAACAUAGACCUGACUAGAGCAAGCAUUUUUGAACUUUUCACUGAGUAUGUCCUCUCUCUUUUAAAGUUGUGGCUCCACUUCUUAUCUUUCUGACAAACAAAGAAGCUAAAUAAGACCACUCGUAAAGGAGAUGUUUGCCAUCCAUCUUCCAAACAUUUAGAGAGGUUUGCCUAUUUUCUCUCUUCCUUGCUGAAUUCCCAAAUAUUUGUAUGGAUGCCUUUCCCCCAUUAAAGAUGGAUAUGGUCAGCAUUCGUAAGCCUUGUCUUGUCUUUUGCACGAAUUUCAAAGUUGCAACAAACCAGGUAUUGAAAAGCAGGGUGAAGGCUCAUGUGCGCCGUUCUCAGCCAGAGAGGCAUACAGAUUAAAUUCCUCACUGUGGUCAGUUUUAGGCUGCCUUCGGAUAGCAAGACGCCUUGAUAAAGAAUGUUAUCCUGUGAAUUUUCUUGCUUUUUGAGCAAGAACAAGGGAAAAGGGGCACAAACAAAGCACCUUUCUCUCUCUCUCUCUCUAAAGGAUUCUACAUUUUAUGCAAAACGAUUCUCCACAAUAAAAUAAAAUAAAAUGAAAUAAUGAAAUGAAAU